This 1554-nucleotide ribosomal RNA is filed under the name Klebsiella pneumoniae. RNAcentral describes it as "bacterial SSU rRNA". It matches the Rfam family "Bacterial small subunit ribosomal RNA". The record is from RNAcentral. Lineage: Bacteria; Pseudomonadati; Pseudomonadota; Gammaproteobacteria; Enterobacterales; Enterobacteriaceae.
ACUUAAAUUGAAGAGUUUGAUCAUGGCUCAGAUUGAACGCUGGCGGCAGGCCUAACACAUGCAAGUCGAGCGGUAGCACAGAGAGCUUGCUCUCGGGUGACGAGCGGCGGACGGGUGAGUAAUGUCUGGGAAACUGCCUGAUGGAGGGGGAUAACUACUGGAAACGGUAGCUAAUACCGCAUAAUGUCGCAAGACCAAAGUGGGGGACCUUCGGGCCUCAUGCCAUCAGAUGUGCCCAGAUGGGAUUAGCUAGUAGGUGGGGUAAUGGCUCACCUAGGCGACGAUCCCUAGCUGGUCUGAGAGGAUGACCAGCCACACUGGAACUGAGACACGGUCCAGACUCCUACGGGAGGCAGCAGUGGGGAAUAUUGCACAAUGGGCGCAAGCCUGAUGCAGCCAUGCCGCGUGUGUGAAGAAGGCCUUCGGGUUGUAAAGCACUUUCAGCGGGGAGGAAGGCGGUGAGGUUAAUAACCUCAUCGAUUGACGUUACCCGCAGAAGAAGCACCGGCUAACUCCGUGCCAGCAGCCGCGGUAAUACGGAGGGUGCAAGCGUUAAUCGGAAUUACUGGGCGUAAAGCGCACGCAGGCGGUCUGUCAAGUCGGAUGUGAAAUCCCCGGGCUUAACCUGGGAACUGCAUUCGAAACUGGCAGGCUAGAGUCUUGUAGAGGGGGGUAGAAUUCCAGGUGUAGCGGUGAAAUGCGUAGAGAUCUGGAGGAAUACCGGUGGCGAAGGCGGCCCCCUGGACAAAGACUGACGCUCAGGUGCGAAAGCGUGGGGAGCAAACAGGAUUAGAUACCCUGGUAGUCCACGCCGUAAACGAUGUCGAUUUGGAGGUUGUGCCCUUGAGGCGUGGCUUCCGGAGCUAACGCGUUAAAUCGACCGCCUGGGGAGUACGGCCGCAAGGUUAAAACUCAAAUGAAUUGACGGGGGCCCGCACAAGCGGUGGAGCAUGUGGUUUAAUUCGAUGCAACGCGAAGAACCUUACCUGGUCUUGACAUCCACAGAACUUUCCAGAGAUGGAUUGGUGCCUUCGGGAACUGUGAGACAGGUGCUGCAUGGCUGUCGUCAGCUCGUGUUGUGAAAUGUUGGGUUAAGUCCCGCAACGAGCGCAACCCUUAUCCUUUGUUGCCAGCGGUUCGGCCGGGAACUCAAAGGAGACUGCCAGUGAUAAACUGGAGGAAGGUGGGGAUGACGUCAAGUCAUCAUGGCCCUUACGACCAGGGCUACACACGUGCUACAAUGGCAUAUACAAAGAGAAGCGACCUCGCGAGAGCAAGCGGACCUCAUAAAGUAUGUCGUAGUCCGGAUUGGAGUCUGCAACUCGACUCCAUGAAGUCGGAAUCGCUAGUAAUCGUAGAUCAGAAUGCUACGGUGAAUACGUUCCCGGGCCUUGUACACACCGCCCGUCACACCAUGGGAGUGGGUUGCAAAAGAAGUAGGUAGCUUAACCUUCGGGAGGGCGCUUACCACUUUGUGAUUCAUGACUGGGGUGAAGUCGUAACAAGGUAACCGUAGGGGAACCUGCGGUUGGAUCACCUCCUUACCUUAAAGAA